UACGAAGGGGGCUAGCGUUGCUCGGAAUCACUGGGCGUAAAGGGCGCGUAGGCGGCUGAUUUAGUCGAGGGUGAAAGCCCGUGGCUCAACCACGGAAUGGCCUUCGAUACUGGUUGGCUUGAGACCGGAAGAGGACAGCGGAGCUGCGAGUGUAGAGGUGAAAUUCGUAGAUAUUCGCAAGAACACCAGUGGCGAAGGCGGCUGUCUGGUCCGGUUCUGACGCUGAGGCGCGAAAGCGUGGGGAGCAAACAGG
Molecule: ribosomal RNA, 253 nt
Filed under: uncultured bacterium
Lineage: Bacteria
Description: partial 16S ribosomal RNA
Rfam family: Bacterial small subunit ribosomal RNA
Source: RNAcentral